UUGUUUUGAGUUUAGUGGUUGUAGAUAAAGAAAAAAUGGCUGAGGAGCAUACCAAGGUUGGUGGUGAGGAAGCAGUGGAGAGCAAGGAGCGAGGGAUGUUUGAUUUCUUGGGGAAGAAAGAAGAUGAGAAGCCUCAACCUCAAGAGGAGGUGGUCGCCACCCAGUUUGAGAAAGUCAAGAUAGAAGAGGAACAUAAGGAAGAUGAGAAGAAACACAGUCUCCUGGACAAGCUUCACCUAUCCAAUAGCAGCUCCAGCUCUGUAAUUACUUUUUUUUACUUCCUUGCUUACUAUUCAUAGUUCAAACAGUCAAAUCUUUUUCAUAUAUAUUAUAACAUGCGUUGUAUGAAUGUUCAGUCUAGUGACGAGGAAGAAGGUGAAGGCGGAGAGAAGAUGAAGAAGAAGAAAAAGGAGAAGGGAAAGAAAGAACAGGACAGUGCAGUCCCAGUGGAGAAGUGCGAUGAGGCAGCAACAGUUCACCACUCAGAGACGCCGAAAAAGAAGGGUUUCAUGGAUAAGAUCAAAGACAAACUCCCAGGACAGCAUAAGAAAGAUGAAGAGGACACCACCCAACCACCAGCUGCUGCUGCCCCAACUGAGAACGACCACCAUGAAGGAGAGACAAAAGAGAAGAAGGGAUUUUUGGUGAAAAUCAAGGAGAAAAUUCCUGGUUACCACUCCAAAACAGAGGACGAGAAGGAAAAAGAGACCACUGCUCCCCAUUAAUGAAUCAAUAUAAUGCAUUUCAAGUAAAAGAUGUGUAGAGAUUGUGUGGUUUAUCAAUUUGUUGGAACUGUCUGUUCUCUGUUUUUCUUUUUGGGGUUGCAUACAUCAUAUAAAUUUCUGCGUCUGUUUUCCUGCUUGUAAGUUAAAAAGGAAAAAAAAGAAAAAAGAAGGUAUGUAUAUUUAAUGUUUUCAAUGUCAUUAUAAUAAUUAAGAAAUGACGGUAUUAUUUCCCUUUUAUCAAGUAGGUUUGUGCACUCUUAAAUGCAAGUUUUAACAAAUAUGAAUUAUUUAAAUAUACAUUUAAUUUUUGAAUUUAACAUUUUUUUUUCUAGGUUGAUGUUACUCAAAUUUUUAUUUCAUUAACUAAAUUAGUAUUAAUUUAAUUCGCGGAAUAAAAAUUCUAACAUUAGAAAAAAAUAAAUAUAACAUAAAUUAUAAAAUGAAGGAAAAAAAAAUUUCGACCGUAGUUAAUGAAUAAUGAUCAAUGAAAGAUCAGUGAAAAGCUAAUUCAUGUAACAAAUUGUUUAUUGGUUUUUAAGCAAAAAUACAAUAAUAUUAGGUGGCAAGCUUUUAAUUGUUUGACAAUUGAUACUCUAUUUAUAUGAACAUAGAAUAUGUUCAAAUACUUUGAUCAAAAUGUUGGUAAAUUUUAUGAUUUAGCGUAAAAAUGAAAAAAAAAAUCAUUUAUGGAUCAAAAUGUUUCAAAAUGAUUACGAAUAGAAAAUAUUUAGUAUAGUGUUGAUAAAGUUUUUAAACUUCAUAAAUAAUUAUGGGUUAAGUGUUUUAUAAGUUUUAGUAAAAUAUUAAAAAAUGUAUAUAUAUUUAAAAAAUUACAAUUUUUUCAAGUCGUGAAAUAAAAAAUAUAUAUUAUCAGUAUAUCAAAUACUAAUUUAUAAAAAAAUCAAUCUCAUAAUGUUUAAAUAUCAUUCAUUUAAGUCAUGAGGUGUGGUGUGGUAAUUGCUCAUCUCAUUUCUCAAUCAUUAGGUCAAGGGUUUAAUCCUUGCUUAUAGGAAUGGAGCACAUUUUAUGGUCAAUCAUUUAUCUUUUUGGAGAGCUCUAAUAGCGAAAGAAUUAGUCAUUACUACUAGUGGUGGAUACUAUAAAAAUAUUUAUAACUUUGUAUAUAUUUAUAUAACAAACUUUUUCCCUUAAUUCAAAGGGUUAAUAGCUAAUUUGGUCCCUGUGUUAUAGUUAAAAGUCAAUUUGAUUUUUUUUAAUUCUCUUAACAAUAAUUGUAAAAGAAAAUCUUAAACUAAA
RNAcentral lists this long non-coding RNA (1982 nucleotides) under Gossypium barbadense (sea-island cotton). RNAcentral describes it as "long non-coding RNA (GBAR_LNC000304)". Lineage: Eukaryota; Viridiplantae; Streptophyta; Magnoliopsida; Malvales; Malvaceae. The record is from RNAcentral.